Molecule: non-coding RNA, 3097 nt
Organism: Lactuca sativa (garden lettuce)
Lineage: Eukaryota; Viridiplantae; Streptophyta; Magnoliopsida; Asterales; Asteraceae
Source: RefSeq, a predicted model, not a curated record
UGAAUACCCCGCUUCUGCACUCUCUCCUCUGGAUCACCUUAUCUCUCAUAAAAUCGCAUAGAGCCAUUCUCUCUCUCUCAAACCCUAGACACAGCCACUGGCCAUUCACGACGAUGUCUUCUUACCCUUUCCUUCUUCCUUGCUCCAUAUUUUUGACCUUCGUCGGAGCUAUCUUCUUGUCCCCCGCUGCCACCAACAAACCACAACCUUAUUCAAUACCCUAAAAACCAGACUAAUCUUUCACCUCUCAUAAUCUCUCUCAUAACAGUUAGGGGAUGUUUUGUAGGCAAGAAUAAAGGGAGGAAUGAAAUGGGAUAUUCAGGGGUAAUGAAAAAAAAAACAUGUUUGGUACGUAUAAGGAAAUGAAAGCCCUAUUCUUGAAGCAAUCUCAUUCCCCCAAAACACGGGAUUUUCAUUCCAUGGGGUACCCCCGUUUUUUUCAUUCCAUUCCCUCCCUAAAAUUGUAUCUUCUGAGAUUGCCCUCUAUCAGCCUUUCAAAUCGGAAGCGUAGGCACGAAAUCACUAAAAAUCAUCAUCACAUCUUCAAUUGAUUGAGGAAAAGAUAUCGAUUUUGCAUUUGGAUAUCAUAAUCGCAGCGUUUUCCCUCACAAACGCCGACUAAUUUCCAACGAAAUCAUUAGAAUAUUGUUUUUUGUGAAUCAUUACGUGAUCGACCACCAAAGCUUCAAGACAAUUUCAAGUAUAUUUCAUCACAGCUCCAAGAAUUUCGAGGUAUUUCGUUAUUGUCAACAGCAACCUAAAAAGUCAAAAUGUUUGAUUUGUAAAACAUCAGAAAAUUUGUGGAUAUGUCUUCUAUGUGAGUUUGUUGGGUGUGGGAGGUAUAAAGAAGGGCAUGCAGUUGAAUACUGGAAACAAACACAACACUGCUACUCUCAGGAACUAGAAACACAACGUGUUAUGUUGGUCAUCUUUUAUACCUAUGGAUGCAGAAUCCAAAAGAGUAAUUGACUGGAUGAAGAAAGCUGUGUAUGAUGCCAGACAGUUGAAGUCACCAGGCACCCCGGUCACCGGAGCUAUAGUCGGAGAGGUGGCGGCUAGGGCAGCACUGCUGUUUCAGCAAUAAAAACAUAUUGGCUGAAGAGGAUCCAAAAGUUAAUUUAGGAGAACUUAAAAGAUUUUCUUUAACAGAAUUACAAGUGGCGACGGAUGGUUUCAGCAAUAAAAACAUAUUGGGUAGGGGCAGAUUUGGAAAAGUCUUAAAAGGGCGAUUAGCAGACAAGUCCCUCGUUGCUGUAAAAAUAUUGAAAGAAGAGAGGACGCCAAGUGGCGAGCUCCAGUUUCAAAUAGAAGUUGAGAUGAUUAGUAUGGCUGUACACAGAAAUCUCCUUCGAUUAAGGGGCUUUUGUAUGACACCAACUGAAAGAUUACUUGUUCACCCCUACAUGGCUAAUGGAAGUGUAACAUCAUGUUUGAGAGGCUAGAUACUUCUUCCAGCAGCUUAUAUCAGGAGAUCACUACUGCCAUUUCAUGGUAAACUGACAAUACAAGUAUACAAUCGUAUCUAAAUCUUGAAAAAUCAUGAUAUGUUUUAGUGAAGUUACUCCUCAAAAGUCGAUUUUGGAGUUGUUGGUCGAAUCCCCUAAUGUCGAUUCCCAAAUGAUACUAUACUGGAACUUUGGAAAUCCACAAUCCUUGGAAGCCAUUGUAGAACAAGUUCGUGAUGGAAGUUCACUUCGUGUUUAUCUGCUUCCAGAGUUUCAGUUUGUCCAAGUAUUUGUUGCUAGAAUCUAGGCACCAUCAAUGGGGAGAAGCACAACACAAGAACCUACAAUACCAAUUGAGGUCCCAUCCGAAGAGACAACUGGAGAAAAUAAUAAUUCAGGGUCACGUGGGACCUUAACAUCAGCCCAAAGAAUCUCAGCCUCAUCAGGCUUCAAUGAAGUGUCCCCUGAUCCUUAUAGGAGGGAAGCUAAACAUUUUACCGAGAUCCAUGUUCUAAAUAAAGAUGUUCGGAUUGUUCUGGAGGGCGUUGACAAGUUUAGCAAUCUGAUUGGUUAUGUAUAUUAGUCUGAUGGAGAAUCAGCAAAGGAUCUGGCAAUGGAGCUUAUUGAAAACGUACGCACAUUGAGAGAAAAGUAUCCGAAGCUUGAUAUAAAGUUUGUGCAGCAACAACUUUCAUAGUUGUUCCAUCUUCCCGCUCUUGAAGAGUCUCCCCAAUACAAGCAAUCACCUUCAAACAUUGAAAAAGCGCAUGCGUAACUUUUUCUCCAACAAACUGAUCAAAAAAGUGUAGUCUUGCAAGUUUGUACCCUUAGUAUACCAAAUUGCUUCAAGGUUGGGUAGCUAAAAAGAUAGCCAGGGACCUAAUACUCUUCAGGAUUGUUCUGAAUUAUUAUGACCAUUUUGCUCUCAUAGAAAUUUUGACAUCAACAUACAUGGGCACAUUUCUUUUAGUGUAGAUUUUGUCGAAGAGAAAUGACACCAAAGAAGAUAAGUAUCUCAUGUUGUUUGUAUAUAUACACUUUUUCUUCUUGUUUAAAAACUUAAAAACUAUAUAGUUGUGAAAAUCGAAGGUUCACACACCGUUUAUGUAGGCAACCUUAGCCCUGAAGAAGUACUUUUUCUACAAAUGUUGCUUAAGCUGAGGAUCAUAAUCAAACCCAAGCCUUGUGUUGGUGUAGGGCCUUUAUGUAAUGCACAACAGGUUUCCAUGAUGGCAUGAAAGUGAUAUUAAGUAUUUGCAUUCUUAUUAUAUUAUACCCCUUACAUUUUCCCAAAUUACCCCUUCCUCUACAAUGUUUUUUUUGUUUCUGUGUAUUUUGUGCAUCAGGUAAAGUUGAUGGAAGAAAGGAAUAUGAAGCCACUUGAUUUAAAUCUUGCAGCAUUAUCAGCAAGAUGCAGUAAAGACUUGGAGUUGAAUUUGGCUAAGUCAUUAUUGAGUGAGAUGGGCCAAUGUACAACUGCUUAUCCAUAUAAUCAGCUGUUUGUAGCAUUAGUCUUAAAGAAUUAUGAAAGGCAAGAUGCAACUUUACUUAGUUGGAAUUUGAUGUACAUAAUAGAUUAGAUGCAAAUUUAUAUAUUGUAAGAAAUAGAAUUGUAUGACAUUAAAUUUAUGCAAUGGAUUCUAUUUUUUGUA